UACGUAGGGUGCGAGCGUUGUCCGGAAUUAUUGGGCGUAAAGAGCUUGUAGGCGGUUUGUCGCGUCUGCCGUGAAAAUUCGAGGCUCAACCUCGAACUUGCGGUGGGUACGGGCAGACUAGAGUGUGGUAGGGGAGACUGGAAUUCCUGGUGUAGCGGUGAAAUGCGCAGAUAUCAGGAGGAACACCAGCGGCGAAGGCGGCGCUCUGGGCCGGUACUGACACUGAGGAGCGAAAGCGUGGGGAGCGAACAGG
Molecule: ribosomal RNA, 253 nt
Filed under: uncultured bacterium
Lineage: Bacteria
Description: partial 16S ribosomal RNA
Rfam family: Bacterial small subunit ribosomal RNA
Source: RNAcentral